UCGGGAAUUUUGGGCAAUGGGCGAAAGCCUGACCCAGCAACGCCGCGUGAGGGAUGAAGUAUUUCGGUAUGUAGACCUCGAAAGAAUGGGAAGAAUAAAUGACGGUACCAUUUAUAAGCUCCGGCUAACUACGUGCCAGCAGCCGCGGUAAUACGUCGGGAGCAAGCGUUGUUCGGAUUUACUGGGCGUAAAGGGCGCGUAGGCGGCGCGGUAAGUCACUUGUGAAAUCUCUGAGCUUAACUCAGAACGGCCAAGUGAUACUGCUGUGCUAGAGUGCGGAAGAGGCAACCGGAAUUCUUGGUGUAGCGGUGAAAUGCGUAGAUAUCAAGAGGAACACCUGAGGCGAAGGCGGGUUGCUGGGCCGACACUGACGCUGAUGCGCGAAGGCCAGGGGAGCAAACG
RNAcentral lists this ribosomal RNA (402 nucleotides) under uncultured bacterium. RNAcentral describes it as "bacterial SSU rRNA". It matches the Rfam family "Bacterial small subunit ribosomal RNA", at positions 355 to 774 of the family's 1533-position model. The record is from RNAcentral.